GUCGUUCCGGUGUGGCUGAGUUGAGAGGAGCCUUAAACAGAGACGCACCGGAGAGGCUCUUGAGCUGACAACUUAAAUGUGUCUUGAGGAGGACAACAAAUACCAUUUAAAACGGCAGCCUCCAUCACUGGGGACUGUCGGUCCUUGUCUGCUGUUAAAGCCUUUUGGGAAAUUAACUGAACAGCCAGAGUUUUCAAAGGACAUCCGGUGGACAACACCACCAGUGCUCUCUGAGAUGGGAUUUACAGCCAGGGACGCUGAAGUAUCUCCAACUACAUCUCAGCAUGAAAAGAGAGUCCAGUCCCAGCUGUGGAGAUUUGUGACAGAGCCAACACUGAGCACAGACAUACGCUUGAGUCUGCGCACAUCAGUCAUACUGCAAAACGUCCCGCACAAGCUCUGAGCUCCCUGACAUUCCUCUCCUUGUGUGUGUGUACAGGCAUCAGCAAGGCUGAUCUAUAAUGUGUGCCCAGGCCAAGCCGAGCCAAGCUCCCUGGGUCCAGGCCUGGCCACCUCCCUCAGGCCUGGCUUCAGUGGGGGACCCUGCUAACCCACAUCUGUCCUCUUUUGGCAACGUCGCCUAAGACUUUGAAUCCAUUUUUUUCCCGUCUGGCUGCUUGCCUGGGUCCAAUUUGACAUGGGAGACAUAACUAGUAGCCACUGACCCGAAUAACAAAACUUCUAAGGUCAUGGAGGCAUGUAGACCUCGCUGUUCCUGACUUGGAAUAGCCGAUUUGGUUUCUUUUGAUCUAAAGCUCAUGAAAUAAAUGUAUAAAUGGAGAAGAAAAUACUCUGAUCUAAUAACAUAGUUGAAAUGAUUAGUUUAGACAGUUGAGGUCAAAUGAGAAUUAAACACAGACCUUAAAGAACUCUAAACACAGUGUUACAAACUUAUCUGUUAUCUACUUGAUUUCUCGCUCCAUGUGACGUCAGUUGUUAGUUUGAAUCCAUCUAUGCUAUUUACUUCUUGAUGUCACUCUUGAUUUCUUUCGCUCGUUUAUCCCAAAUCAUGCAGAAUGUUUUUGGUGAGGUUGACUGAAUGCACCAGAUUUCUCAGAAAAUGAUCAAACGAUAAUAGGGAGGGACAGUGUUGAGAAAAUUACACUGAUGUAAGCUCGCGCACCAUAUGGCAGCAGUGUUAUCGCCCACCUCAACAAGCCCUAAUGGAGAGCACUUAAGACUGAACAAUUUACUGCAAUAAAAAGACGAGUAAAGAAGUGGCUGCUUGUAUUCUGUGAAGCUGAAGGCAGCUGCCUGUCUCUUCCCACAUGCUGUCAACACUCAUCUGCCAUCGGCCCAUCAGUGAGCAAUCAAAUUACACUUGGUUUCUUUCACUAUUCAGGUACAUCUGUGCAUGCUUGUCUAGGUGUGUGUUUUACCUGCUAAUACAUUAGAGAGUUGGGACUGUUGCCAAAUCCCCCCACGCCUCAGAUGUCUUGUUUUUACCGAGCAACAGUCCAAAAUCCAAAGAUAUUAAGUUUAUUAAUCAUCAUCCUAGAAAACCAUCAAAUAUCCACAUCUGAGAAGCUGGAGCUUCACAUUUUUGGAAAAUUUUGCUUAAAAAAAUUACCUGACUAAUUACUUGAUGAUCAAAAUUGUUGAAUGUUAAUUUUUAGACAAUCGUGGUUAAUCAUUUUAUCUUGACUAGUACAGGCUGUUCUCAUGUGCUGUACUUACAUUUACCUAUGAAAAGUAAUGUAUCAGAAUUCAUGUGUAACCCAAGUAAUCGUGAAGGCUGUGAUAACAUGACCAAUGUGCUGACCGCAGUAAAGAAGGAAGAAGUAUAAAGAGUGAAAGUCUGUGUACUGAGGCAGGUUGGGGUGGUGGAUGGGUCAAACAAACAUAGGACUCUUCCCCAGGAGACCAGCAUUUGUGUCCAGUGAGAUACCUCGCAAACUUUGAGUCAUGUUAAGGUAUUAUGUGACAAAGCACCACCUGCUUUGUGCCACUGAGUUAGCUGGUAAUAGCUCGUUUGGGGUGUGUGUAGGUACGCUGCUGGUUUAGCUUUAACAAGUGUCUGUCGUUCUGCAGUGAUUCAAGCUUCAUCUCAUGAUUAUGAAACCUAAUAUUAAAUACUUGACAAUUUUUUUAAAAAGUU
Long non-coding RNA from Epinephelus moara (kelp grouper), 2098 nucleotides. RefSeq lists it as uncharacterized. The record is from RefSeq and is a predicted model, not a curated record. The transcript is spliced from 3 exons. Lineage: Eukaryota; Metazoa; Chordata; Actinopteri; Perciformes; Serranidae.